GACGAACGCUGGCGGCGUGCGUAACACAUGCAAGUCGAACGAUGAAGCUGGAGCUUGCUCCGGUGGAUUAGUGGCGAACGGGUGAGUAACACGUGAGCAAUCUGCCCUUGACUCUGGGAUAACUGCGGGAAACUGUAGCUAAUACCGGAUACGAGACUUGGAGGCAUCUCCAGGUCUGGAAAGAAUUUCGGUCAAGGAUGAGCUCGCGGACUAUCAGCUAGUUGGUGAGGUAAUGGCGCACCAAGGCGACGACGGGUAGCCGGCCUGGGAGGGUGGCCGGCCACACGGGAGUGGAGCAACGGUCCAGACUCCUAAGGGAGGCAGCAGGGGGUAAUAUUGCACAAUGGGCGAAAGCCUGAUGCAGCAACGCCGCGUGAGGGAUGAAGGCCUUCGGGCUGUAAACCUCUUUUAGCAGGGAAGAAGCGAAAGUGACGGUACCUGCAGAAAAAGCACCGGCUAACUACGUGCCAGCAGCCGCCGCCG
Molecule: ribosomal RNA, 483 nt
Filed under: uncultured bacterium
Lineage: Bacteria
Description: partial 16S ribosomal RNA
Rfam family: Bacterial small subunit ribosomal RNA
Source: RNAcentral